UUCCCUUCCCUUCCCCAGGGCAGCCAGCCCUAAGCCCAGCCAGGCCAGGCCUGAAGGCUUCACACUGUCUAGGGAAAGGCUCCAAGGCUGGGCUCUCACCUGCACGGAAUGAAGAAGAGCUGCUGCACUUGCCAGCAGCUCCGGGGUCUCGCGAUCAGCGCUUUGAAUGCAGCUUUUGUACAAACUCUGCCUCUCUGGGCCAAGCAGCAUUCCUGGGCAUCGGCAGCGCUGCUGCCGGCCAACAUCCUCCGGGCACAGCUGCAGCAAUGAGAUUGCAACAAGUCCUGGCUGAAGGAGUCUCCAGUCAUGCUGCAGCCCUUCACCUGUGGCGGAAUCAUCUUGUGCCACCAUGGGGGCAGCAAAGGGGGUGACGGGCUCUUGCAGAUGAGGGUCUCCUCCAUGUGCUGCAGCUCACUGCGCUGAUACAGCUGCUGGUGCCCUCCCCCACAGCUGUACCAGGAGCCUGUCUGGAAAAAUAACACCGCCAGUGCCAGUGCCAGCCACUAAUCCCUGCCAUGGCCCUGCCCACAGGGCGUCCUGCCUACCAAACUGCUCCAGUCAGGUGAUGUCAGACACCAUCAAAAUACAUUCAAACGAUGCAUUUUCCACAUUCUGUCAGAAUCAUGGCCAUACAGUCCACAUGCUGGAGGCAGACUGCUGUUGGCAGAAUGGGGCAAGCCCCAGCAGCUGCUCUUCCCAUGGCUGGAUGGCCAUGGCAGCAGAGGCAAGUCUCUCACCGUGCCCACUGCUGUGAGACCCGGUGCUUUGGACAUGUUCCCACUGAACUCAGGCUCCUGCUACAGCAGCAUCAUGCCUUCACACAUUUGAUAGCAAAGAGUUGGAAUAGCACCCAGGACUCGCCCCAAGAACUACCAAACAAAAAAAAAGGGAGUUAGAAUAGUUCACUCCUUUCUAAUACAAGCAUACCUGGGUUUAAGCAGGGACACUGGGCUAAUCAUACUGGGGAUUGGCUGGUAAGCCUUGUCUCUAGCAAUUCCCACCAGUCUGCAAGCAUUUUUCAGUAGAAAGGGGUACAUAAGGUUUUACAGCACAUCCAUGAGCAAGUCUGAGCUGAAACUCAAAGUACAAGACAAAUACUCCCAAAUUGGCCACCCAUGGGGAAAGGAAGAAGAAAAGCAGAUGAAACAAGUGCCAUUGCAGCUGAAUUGCCUGCAUUUAUCCCAUGCUCAAACCUUUCUGUACAAAAGCACCUCAAUUCAAACACACAGCUUAACAGCAAGGAAUUAAAGUGUUUUGAGAGCA
Long non-coding RNA from Vidua chalybeata, 1263 nucleotides. RefSeq lists it as uncharacterized. The transcript has 2 exons. The record is from RefSeq and is a predicted model, not a curated record. Lineage: Eukaryota; Metazoa; Chordata; Aves; Passeriformes; Viduidae.